AUAAGGGAUGGCGGGCUUUUACAAUGAGGGGCGGUCUUGAAAACCGUUAGGGUGCAAGCCCACGUGGGUUCGAAUCCCACCCUCUCC
This 87-nucleotide transfer RNA is filed under the name compost metagenome. RNAcentral's name for it is "tRNA-Ser". The record is from RNAcentral.